AUUGAACGCUGGCGGCAGGCCUAACACAUGCAAGUCGAGCGGAUGAAGGGAGCUUGCUCCUGUAUUCAGCGGCGGACGGGUGAGUAAUGCCUAGGAAUCUGCCUGGUAGUGGGGGAUAACGUCCGGAAACGGGCGCUAAUACCGCAUACGUCCUGAGGGAGAAAGUGGGGGAUCUUCGGACCUCACGCUAUCAGAUGAGCCUAGGUCGGAUUAGCUAGGUGGUGGGGUAAAGGCCUACCAAGGCGACGAUGCGUAACUGGUCUGAGAGGAUGAUCAGUCACACUGGAACUGAGACACGGUCCAGACUCCUACGGGAGGCAGCAGUGGGGAAUAUUGGACAAUGGUCGAAAGCGUGAUCCAGCCACGCCGCGUGUGUGAAGAAGGUCUUCGGAUUGUAAAGCACUUUAAGUUGGGAGGAAGGGCAGUAAGUGAAUACCGUGCUGUUUUGACGUUACCAACAGAAUAAGCACCGGCUAACUUCGUG
Molecule: ribosomal RNA, 484 nt
Filed under: uncultured bacterium
Lineage: Bacteria
Description: partial 16S ribosomal RNA
Rfam family: Bacterial small subunit ribosomal RNA
Source: RNAcentral